UCUUUACCAGCUGUGCCACAAGGGAAGACCAGAGUCUGGGUGAAUAAUACUGCCUUUCUACCAAGUCCUUAGGUAAAAACGGAGGACUGUCCUGUAUUCCUCUUUCAUUUUCUUCCUCCCCUCUUUUAUUAAUGAGAAUGUUUUAGCUUCAACUCAUGGAAAGCCUAGCUACCAACAGCUUAAACAAUGGGUGUAUUAUUAUCCCACAAGAAAUCUGAAUGGAGGGCGGUUCCAGGAUUGGUUCAGUGAUGUCACCAAUAAGUCCAGUAUUUCCAGCUUUCUGUUCUGGCAUCCUCAAUGGCCUGGUGACGUCUUUUCUCCUGAUCACAGGAUGACUACCGCAGCUCCAAGUCUAGAGAAAGGCCAUCUUCCUUGACCAAGUGGAAGGGUGAAAAAUUAUACACAAUUAGGACCAUGCCAACAAAGAAGACAUGGAGGCAGGGGUCAGGCGCUGGCUGGAAGUAUGACUGGAGAGAGGCAACGUGAUUUCCAGGCAGCAUUAUGGACCAUUUGAGGUUAGUAAUGCAUUUGAAGUCAGAUCAGUCAAUAUAGUUCUGGGGUUUUCUACAGCCACUGUUUAGCAGGUCAGUGCAGGCAGAAUUGGUGAACAAAUGGAUUUAACCAGAGUUGUGGUUUGGUCAGUCAAGGAAACUGAAGCUAGAGGGAGACAAGGGAGUUGAAGGGUAUGUAAGGGAAUGAUCACCACUGACCACCGAAUUUAAAAUAAAAACACAGGAGAGGAUGAGGAACAUUGAAAACUCUGCCAUGUGGAAAUGGGAGAGGCACAGACCCUGAGUCCCAGAGGAACC
Molecule: long non-coding RNA, 809 nt
Organism: Odocoileus virginianus texanus
Lineage: Eukaryota; Metazoa; Chordata; Mammalia; Artiodactyla; Cervidae
Source: RefSeq, a predicted model, not a curated record